AUGCCUAAUACAUGCAAGUCGAACGCUGAAGCACUCUGCUUGCAGAGUGCGGAUGAGUGGCGAACGGGUGAGUAACACGUGGGAAAUCUGCCUAGGAGUGGGGGAUAACAUUCGGAAACGGAUGCUAAUACCGCAUAUCUUUUUGAACCGCAUGGUUCUUAAACGAAAGACGGCUUCGGCUGUCGCUCUUAGAUGAUCCCGCGGCGUAUUAGUUAGUUGGUGGGGUAAAGGCCUACCAAGACCAUGAUACGUAGCCGACCUGAGAGGGUGAUCGGCCACACUGGGACUGAGACACGGCCCAGACUCCUACGGGAGGCAGCAGUAGGGAAUCUUCCACAAUGGGUGAAAACCUGAUGGAGCAAUGCCGCGUGAAUGAAGAAGGUCUUCGGAUCGUAAAGUUCUGUUAUUAGAGAAGAACAAGUCAAGGAGUAACUGUCUUGACUUUGACGGUACCUAACCAGAAAGUCACGGCUAACUACGUGCCAGCAGCCGCGGUAAUACGUAGGUGACAAGCGUUGUCCGGAAUUAUUGGGCGUAAAGGGAGCGCAGGCGGUUGGAAUAGUCUGAUGUGAAAGCCCACGGCUUAACCGUGGAAGGUCAUUGGAAACUGUCCAACUUGAAUACAGAAGAGGUAAGUGGAAUUCCAAGUGUAGCGGUGAAAUGCGUAGAUAUUUGGAGGAACACCAGUGGCGAAGGCGACUUACUGGUCUGUAAUUGACGCUGAGGCUCGAAAGCGUGGGUAGCAAACAGGAUUAGAUACCCUGGUAGUCCACGCCGUAAACGAUGAGUGCUAAGUGUUAGGGGGUUUCCGCCCCUUAGUGCUGGAGUUAACGC
RNAcentral lists this ribosomal RNA (834 nucleotides) under uncultured bacterium. RNAcentral's name for it is "bacterial SSU rRNA". It matches the Rfam family "Bacterial small subunit ribosomal RNA", at positions 44 to 858 of the family's 1533-position model. The record is from RNAcentral.